Molecule: long non-coding RNA, 411 nt
Filed under: Homo sapiens (human)
Lineage: Eukaryota; Metazoa; Chordata; Mammalia; Primates; Hominidae
Description: non-protein coding lnc-BORCS5-4:1
Source: RNAcentral
AAUUCUUCAGCGGCCCCUGCACCUCAUGGAUACUUUUCAGGUGAUGGAGGAGUAGAACUACACUGAAAAUUUGCAUUUGAAUAAGGAACAAGGAAAAAAAAAACUUGGAAAUCAAGUAACCUAAAGCAAAUUCACAAAAAUAGAAAUAACUGGCUCAAGAAUAACAAGUAUAAAUGUAGGGUGCUCAUAAUGAGACUUCAUAACGUGAUAGAAGGGUGCCUUUUCUUCUGAUUUCUACAUGGAGCAGGAGGACCUCAGGGAGGUCUGAACGGCGGCAUGAGAGCUCGUGCAGAUGACCAGAGGACCCACGUCCUCCAGGCUGCUGACUUAACAUGGGAAGCUGUUUGGGCAGCUCAUUUCUGUUUUCCAAACUUUGCAAUUUGAGAAAAAAAAAAUCCAACUGUUAAAUCA